GGUUCAGGACGAACGCUGGCGGCGUGCCUAACACAUGCAAGUCGAACGGAGUAAGGGUUUCGAUUCUUACUUAGUGGCGAACGGGUGAGUAACGCGUGAACAACCUGCCUUCCUGAGGGGGAUAACACCUGGAAACAAGUGCUAAUACCGCAUAAGACCACAUAUCCGCAUGGAUGAGGGGUCAAAGGAGCAAUCCGCAGGGAGAGGGGUUCGCGUCCCAUUAGCUAGUUGGCGGGGCAACGGCCCACCAAGGCGACGAUGGGUAGCCGAGCUGAGAGGCUGAUCGGCCACACUGGAACUGAGACACGGUCCAGACUCCUACGGGAGGCAGCAGUGGGGAAUAUUGGGCAAUGGGCGCAAGCCUGACCCAGCCAACGCCGCGUGAGGGAAGAAGGUCUUCGGAUUGUAAACCUCUGUCCUAUGUGACGAAGGAAGUGACGGUAGCAUAGGAGGAAGCCCCGGCUAACUACGUGCCAGCAGCUGC
RNAcentral lists this ribosomal RNA (484 nucleotides) under uncultured bacterium. RNAcentral's name for it is "bacterial SSU rRNA". It matches the Rfam family "Bacterial small subunit ribosomal RNA", at positions 21 to 518 of the family's 1533-position model. The record is from RNAcentral.